RNA transcript from Capsicum annuum, 2171 nucleotides. It is a transcript of the gene named probable inactive purple acid phosphatase 28, with no coding region annotated. The record is from RefSeq and is a predicted model, not a curated record. NCBI's taxonomy places the organism in Eukaryota, Viridiplantae, Streptophyta, Magnoliopsida, Solanales, Solanaceae. The transcript has 6 exons.
UAAAUAGUUGAGCACAUUUAAUCUGAAAGAAGAAAAAAGAAAAAACAUGAGAGUCAAAGUAGCUAGCUAAGCUUAGUAAAAAUGAAGAUACAAGUUUAUUAAGUACAUCUUUACUGAAAAAAAUAAGUGUAUCACAUCUUUAUUGUUGCUUCUCCAUUUGGAUCCUUCAACAAACUAUGGAAUCAGCAACAAAAUGGAUCCACUCUUUGUUGUUUUUCACCUUCACUUUUGCUUCUUUGUAUCUACUAGACACCUUUAUUAUCUCUAGUAGACUAAGUACUGAUUACCAAAAUAUCAAGCUCAAGAAGAAGCCUCAGCUGCCUCUGCAUUUCCGCUCCGAUGGAACCUUUAAAAUCCUGCAGGUUGCAGAUAUGCACUAUGGGAAUGGGAUGCUGACUCGGUGUAGAGAUGUGUUGGAGAGUGAGUUCAAUUGCUGCACCGAUCUCAACACUACUCAGUUCUUGAGGAAAAUAAUUGAGAUUGAGAAGCCAGACUUGAUUGUAUUUACGGGAGAUAACAUAUUUGGAAGAAGUGCUACUGAUGCUGCAGAAUCUAUGUUUGAAGUUUUUGCUCCUGCUAUAGAUUCUGGAAUUCCAUGGGCAGCAGUUUUGGGGAACCAUGAUCAAGAAUCCAUUAUGAAUCGUGAAGAACUGAUGUCCUUCAUAUCCCUGAUGGAUUAUUCAGUUUCACAAACGUUUCCAUCAACUAAAGUUACCUCAGAUCCAGCGGAACAGCAACCCAUGACAGAUAUUGAUGGAUUUGGCAACUACAAUCUUGAAGUAUGGGGUGCACCCGGCUCAUACUUAAGUAACAGCAGCAUUCUUAACCUUUAUUUUAUAGAUAGUGGAGAUAGAGCUAUUGUUGAUGGAGUCCGGACAUAUAAUUGGAUCAGGGAAUCUCAACUAAGUUGGCUUCGUGGUGUUUCCAAAAGAUUUCAGGGACAAUGGAAGUUUGCCGAUCAAUCAGUGGAGAUUCCUCUACUCCCAGUAAUGCAUCCUGCAUUAGCAUUUUUCCACAUCCCAAUUCCAGAAAUUCGUCAAGGUCCUAUAAAAGAUAUUGUUGGCACUUACCGGGAAUAUGUGGCAUGUUCAUCAGUAAACUCCGGAGUCUUGAAGACCUUUAUCUCUAUGGGGGAUGUUAAGGCUGUUUUUAUUGGUCAUGAUCAUAAUAAUGAUUAUUGUGGGAAUAUAAAAGGUAUAUGGUUUUGCUAUGGUGGAGGCUUUGGAUAUCAUGGCUAUGGUGUAGCUGGUUGGCCUAGAAGAGCAAGGGUAAUACAGGCAGAACUUGGGAAGGGAAAGGAAGCGUGGAUUGAUGUGGAGAAGAUCAGGACAUGGAAACGACUUGAUGAUGGUGUACUGACCAAGUUUGAUGAGCAAGUCUUGUGGGACAUUCAUACAUUAAGAUGAAAGUAUCAGGUACAGACUGUUCAUACAUUCAGUAUGGAGGCAUUUUGGAAUCUUGGAGCAAAGGCGAGCAAUUUAUGGAUGUCACAAGGCUUGUGGUUCGGCAUCGAGGAGGCCAAGGAGAAUUCAAAAAGGAAUUUUGGGAAGCUAAAAAAAUUCCAAAAUGAAGUGUUAAAGGAAGGAACAAAGUGUGGAACCCAAAGGCAAACAAAAGAAGUUAACUACUACAAAAAGUGAUGUUUCUAAGAACAAGGGCACACCAUGCCCUCCAAUCUACAAGAUAAGGGUGUGCCAUGCCCUAAGACACAAAAUAACAUGUUAAAAAUUGUGUGCAUCCACGUUAAGGGAGUGACACAUCCUUGAACAUCCGCGAUGAGGGUGUGCCACACCCAAGGGUGAAAAGCUACCAAAAGUGAUUUUUCAGCAUCUUAAUUAAGGGGAAAUGUUAUCAAUAAUAUGUUUCAUGUUGGUAUAUGUAAGUACGACCUAAAACACUAUACAAGGAUCACUCAUUCACAAUUUCAUCCCAUUUUCAAAUCAAUACAUGAAUUGGAGAGAAGAUAAGCAAGUAAGGGGCUCAAACUAGGGUUCUUUGUUCUUAAACAUUACUUUCUUGUAGUUUUACUUCACGAAUUCAUAUAAGGUGAUUCUUUGUAAGAAUACAAGUGGAUAAAACCUCUAAUUGUAGGGUUAGGGCUACAAACAUGAGUGUAUAAUUAUUUUUUGAUUAUUGGCUUAAAUGUUUAUCAAGUGUGUGAUUAUUCUUAC